UACCACAGCCAUAUCACCCUGCAGCCCAAGACUGGUUGCCCACUGAAGCUAAGCAGGGCUGAGCCUGGUCAGUACCUGGAUGGGAGACCUCUUGGGAAAACUAGGUUGCUGCUGGAA
RNAcentral lists this ribosomal RNA (117 nucleotides) under Sinocyclocheilus anshuiensis. Lineage: Eukaryota; Metazoa; Chordata; Actinopteri; Cypriniformes; Cyprinidae. The record is from RNAcentral.